ACUUUUAUAGGACAACAGUAAUCCAUUGGUCUUAGGAACCAAAAAUCUUGGUGCAACUCCAAAUAAAAGUA
Molecule: transfer RNA, 71 nt
Filed under: Praomys lukolelae (Lukolela Praomys)
Lineage: Eukaryota; Metazoa; Chordata; Mammalia; Rodentia; Muridae
Description: tRNA-Leu
Rfam family: tRNA
About the family: Transfer RNA (tRNA) molecules are approximately 80 nucleotides in length. Their secondary structure includes four short double-helical elements and three loops (D, anti-codon, and T loops).
Source: RNAcentral